AUUCACUAGGGUGCUUAAGUCCAAAGAUAUAUUUUAGGUCUUUGGUAGUCUUCUAAUUUGAUUCAGCCGUUGGGGCAGAUAUCCUCUCCUUGAUCCUCAUAGAGGCCAUUAAGGGACUUAUUUAGACGUGCGAUCUAUUUCUUAAGACUCGAUCAAAAGUAGUUUUGUGGGUCCACGGUAUUAUUUGUAGAGCGAAUGCUCAACCCGUGAGGGUCGAUAAUGACCCGCAUCUCGUCUGGUAUAGGGUCGCAGAUUCUGGUAUGACUAGGAGAAAUUAAUCUUAUGCUUGAUCCUUCGACCAUUUGGUCAUUCUAUGAGAAUUGAUUUCUUAUCUCAAUCUGGAGUAUAUAUGUUUGUGGUACGCCUCGAACGUGUAGAAUUUUUACCACCACAAGUAGUACCCCCAUUUACUAAGAAUGAACUUGGUCUGGCUCAAAAAUUGGAAGCCACCAAAUUAAAAACCGCUUUGACUUUUAAAUUUUGAAGACCCAUGUCGUUUACUGAGGUUUUUACUUGUUGUGUUAAGUCACUUGCACCUACUCUUUUCCUGAAGGCAAUGAUAGAGUCUUCUGGCUAUCUAUUCUAGUGUUCUUAAACCUUUGUUUGAGGAUCAUCUGCCCUGUAAGUUUCUGCUCUCCAUUCUUCUUCUUCUUUAAUUUUUGUGAUAGUCAUGAAUGGUCGAAGCUCCGGCGACAAAUAUAUUAACGUUUUUUUUUUUUUUUUGGUGCAUUCUAGCUCUCACAUGGAGAUUUUUUUGUCUGAGGAUGCUUCUCCUCUAAGGGAUGAAGAGAUCAGAGAGGAAGUUCUGGUGUUGACUGAGAUGCCUGAUGGUCCUCCCCUUGUUUCUGACGAGGAUCUUCUCCGUUUUGUCAGGAUUUCGCGCCUUUAGUGGCGGAGAUUAGGGACUGUCACCUUAUGAGAGACUUUUGACCCAGUUGACAAUUAGGUCCCCUGCCUCUGGACCCCUAAUCCAUGGGGGUGUGUGAGUUGAGUGGGUUGGUGUUAGCACAACUUUCGCUUGUGGUAUGGAUCAUGUGUUUGAAAUACAUUUGUGCUCAGGCGGGGUUGCCUCUUGCUAUUAUUGGGUUAUUUCGACUUUAUCGCUUUACCUUGCUUGAUUUGUGAGGAUUUUGACUUGUUUUUCACCCACAAGCUUGAGGGUUGAGCCAUUUGGAUGUGUUCCGGUGUGGAAAGGCAGUCUUGAUGGAUUAAAUCUCACUUGAUUCGAGGUAGACAGGGAGACGACCCAGCUUCCUAGGAGCCAGAUCAGCUUGCACAGGAGCACUUCCAUAGACCGGAGGUGCAGUUUCUGAUAUAUUCUUUUGUGUACAUACUUGGACAUGGCGGGGUCCUGUCCCGUCUUCAUGACUUCAAUACUUCAGUUAGAGGCUC
Molecule: long non-coding RNA, 1392 nt
Organism: Lycium ferocissimum
Lineage: Eukaryota; Viridiplantae; Streptophyta; Magnoliopsida; Solanales; Solanaceae
Exons: 3
Source: RefSeq, a predicted model, not a curated record